CCGGGGGGUCGGGAGCGAGAGGAGCCCGGGCCGAGUCACCUGCACUCGUGCCUGCUCGGGUCAUGUUUUGUAGUCUGAAAGAGCCAGAAAAUGUCUGCAGAGCCCCUGAUUCUUCUGUGGAGGUCUAAAGACUCCUUGGGGGGUUAUGCAGGGAAGCGGGGCAGAGCGGGAGGAGGCUGGAAGGUGAGGCCUGAGCUGGCCUGAAGCAGCCUAGUGGAGGGGGACGAGGUGAGUUGAAGUCUCUGGAAAAGAGCCCGACACAUCGAUGUUUCCGCAUGUUUUCUGCUGAUUCUUGCUUGCUCCUUGUUCUUGGGUCCGGUGCUGGGUGCUCCCCUUGCCACAGGGGCCAUGGAGAGCCUGGUGUAGAAAUGGUUCUGUGCCGCACGGGCGGUGCAGGGGUUUGUGUUGGUGAGCAUGGUCUGUGUGGAGAACAGCAAGGACUCUUACUGCCCUAGGAGCCAGAAAUCUGUGGGAUUUCUUUAGUCUUCAGUAAAGAUCUUCAGUGAGUUACCUACUGUAGGAGUCGGGAUAUCAGCAGCCUCCAAAGUCUGGAAAGGUUUGUAUGUUGGGUUGAGAGGAGUCAUCUUGUGUAUCACAUUAUCUUACCACAGCUGGAAUAUCUGCUAGGAGGCAGAAGAGCCCUCCCAGGCAGAUCACCUGCUGAAUUUAAUAAGCACAUGUGAAUAACAAAGAUUGACCAGAAAUAUUUUCACUCAUAUAAGCAUUCUUUCAUACUAACUAUAGUAACAAUAGCCGUGUACAAAGUGGAAUCAAACCUUUGGACAGUGCUGUUUCAAUAGGGGCCUUCAGAAAAACCACUUCCAAUGUGAUGAAAGAGAAACUGCUCAAAAAUGCAUUCAGGAAUACCUACAACUCCGUAUGGAUACCUAAUGAAAAUAUAUUAGAAUUAACUGCAAAUUGAGCAAGUAGCAAAAAAAAGCUUGAUGAACUGACUGUAACAAAAUAUCCAGUGAUGAAAAGCUCUGCAGACUUCUGCUUGCCAGCACUGGCAAGAAAGUAGUUUAGCUAAAUAGAAGGAAAGCAGAAGAUACAGCUAUCAACUGCAAACGAAUGAUUAUAAACCAGCAAGAAAAUGUGAGGAAGAGCUCUGAAAAUGAUGAUUGACAGUGACAACACAGACCAGACAGCUUUUAUUUUAAGCAACAGAUUGUUGGGAACAUACACCAUAUAUCAAAGUGAAGGACUUGAAACCUGCUGUAGUCUGUACAGAUGUUCUCACUCAGAAAGCAGCUAGAGGGAACAGAAGAUAAAAGAAAGCUGUCCAACUUCAAAAAGGUUUGAAUUUUCAUUCUGUUUUGACAAGUUUUUGUGCUAGUCUCUGAUUUUCAGCGUGAUAGAAAAUUCAGCAUCUACAAACCUGACCUAAAGUGAGAAACACCUGAAGGGGUACAAGCAAACCCUUAGGAAGGUGCUCUAAAACAUCAUGAAAUAUUUUUUGUUGUUUUAAUCUUAAAUGCUUUUAUAUUGAAGGAGGCAGAAAUUGGAAAUGGUGUAACUGUUGUAGCUCUGGAGCAGGUCAUACGUGCGUGCAGUACCUGGAAUGGAAGGCUGAGAUCUGAGAGGCAAUUUAGGAAUCCCUGCUGCAGGAGAGAGUUUUUUAUGAUACAAAGCAAGACAGGAUUACUGAGCUCAGAAGGGUUAUUUGUGAAUAACUUCCAGCUAAAGUGAUUAAGGGCUUCAGCCACUAGCCCCAGAAAAACAAUAAAGAGCAUCAAAAACAUCCUGCUUGUCAUUGCUGCUGGCUUUUUGUUCAGUGAGCAAGAGGUCUGUGUUGGUUUUGGUCCUUUGCCCAUGGGGACACUUUUAACAAAACAUAGUACUUGAAAGAAUUCCAGAAUGUGUUUGUUGUUUUUUUCUUUUCUUUGAACUUCGAGGUUAAAGAUAAAUAAAGGAGUAUUUUGAUAUA
Molecule: long non-coding RNA, 1927 nt
Organism: Prinia subflava (tawny-flanked prinia)
Lineage: Eukaryota; Metazoa; Chordata; Aves; Passeriformes; Cisticolidae
Exons: 2
Source: RefSeq, a predicted model, not a curated record